GCCUAACACUUAGCCCACCCCCCCCCCCCCCCCGUUUCUGUAAACCUAAAGCAUUCUAACCUUCUAGUAGAGGCGAUCGAAAAAUACCCUGGAGCUAUAACACGCGUACCGCAAGGGAAAAGUGAAAUAAUAAUGAAACAUCAAAAAGCACUAAAUAGCAGAGACAAAACCUCGUACCUUUUGCAUCAUGGUUUAACUAGUCUAAUCAAGCAAAAUGAAUUACAGUUUGACCCCCCGAAACCAAGCGAGCUACCUCGAGGCAGCCCCCUGGGGCAAACCCAUCUCUGUAGCAAAAGAGUGGGAAGACCUCCUAGUAGAGAUGACAGAUCUAACGAGCUUGGUGAUAGCUGGUUGCUCAAGAAAAGGAUCUAAGUCCUACCUUAACCCACCCUAAUAUAACCAAAUACCCUCCCACAGUUAAGAGCCAUUCAAACAAGGUACAGCUUGCUUGAACCAGGAUACAACCUACCCCUAAGGGUAACGAGCUCCCGCAAAACAGCCAAGUAGGCCUAAAAGCAGCCACCUUCACAAAUAGCGUCACAGCUUACCCGCUACGCACCCCCAAUAACAAUAAUACCCCCGGAACCCUUAACCCCUAUUGAGCGAUUCUAUACCUGUAUAGAAGUCAUUAUGUUAAAACUAGUAACAAGAGGAUAGCCCCUCUCCUUAAUGCAAGCAUAAAUCAGCAUUGACAAACUACUGAUAAUUAACGUCCCGAGCCCAUAGCAGCAACACACACCAGAAAACCCUACUACAAGCAGCGUUAACCUUACACAAGAGCAUUACAGUGAAAGAUUGAAAGGAGAAGAAGGAACUCGGCAAACCUUAACCCCGCCUGUUUACCAAAAACAUCGCCUCUUGACAAAACAUAAGAGGUCCCGCCUGCCCAGUGACACAGUUUAACGGCCGCGGUAUCUUAACCGUGCGAAGGUAGCGUAAUCACUUGUUCCUUAAAUGGGGACUAGUAUGAAUGGCAUCACGAGGGUUACACUGUCUCCUCCCCCUAAUCAGUGAAACUGAUCUCCCCGUGAAGAAGCGGGGAUAACACUAUAAGACGAGAAGACCCUAUGGAGCUUUAGAUCCGACGGCACAUGUUAACAUACACUUAAUCCCAGGAAACACAACCCAAACUACAUCCCUGCCGCCUACCUUCGGUGGGGCGACCGCGGAGAACAAAACACCCUCCGCACUGAAAAGACACAGUCUUUAACCAAAAGAUACAUCUUUAAGUACCAAUAAAUUGACACCCAUUGACCCAGUCCACUGAUCAAUGAACCAAGUUACCCUAGGGAUAACAGCGCAAUCCAUUUCAAGAGCCCCUAUCGACAAAUGGGUUUACGACCUCGAUGUUGGAUCAGGGUAUCCCAGUGGUGCAGCCGCUACUAAAGGUUUGUUUGUUCAACAAUUAAAACCCUACGUGAUCUGAGUUCAGACCGGAGUAAUCCAGGUCAGUUUCUAUCUAUAAAGAGCCCUCUCCAGUACGAAAGGACCGAGAAGACAUGGCCCAUACUCCCGCAUGCCAUAGCCACAAAACAGUGCACACAACUCAACUGAUACUAGCCUAACACCUUUCCCCAGACCAGGGC
This 1586-nucleotide ribosomal RNA is filed under the name Nasikabatrachus sahyadrensis (pig-nosed frog). RNAcentral describes it as "partial 16S ribosomal RNA". It matches the Rfam family "Bacterial large subunit ribosomal RNA". Lineage: Eukaryota; Metazoa; Chordata; Amphibia; Anura; Nasikabatrachidae. The record is from RNAcentral.